GAUGAAGAACGCAGCGAAAUGCGAUAAGUAAUGUGAAUUGCAGAAUUCAGUGAAUCAUCGAGUCUUUGAACGCACAUUGCGCCCCCUGGUAUUCCGGGGGGCAUACCUGUCCGAGCGUCAUUGCUGCCCUCAAGCACGGCUUGUGUGUUGGGCCCCCGUCCCCGGUUCCCCCCGGGGACGGGCCCGAAAGGCAGCGGCGGCACCGCGUCCGAUCCUCGAGCGUAUGGGGCUUUGUCACCCGCUCUGUAGGCCCGGCCGGCGCCAGCCGACACCCCAACUUUAUUUUCUAAGGUUGACCUCGGAUCAGGUAGGGAUACCCGCUGAACUUAAGCAUAUCAAUAAGCGGAGGA
RNAcentral lists this unclassified non-coding RNA (350 nucleotides) under soil metagenome. RNAcentral describes it as "partial contains 5.8S ribosomal RNA, internal transcribed spacer 2, and large subunit ribosomal RNA". The stretch from base 1 to 120 matches the Rfam family "5.8S ribosomal RNA", at positions 35 to 154 of the family's 154-position model. The record is from RNAcentral.